Capsicum annuum is the source of this 5115-nucleotide RNA transcript. It is a transcript of the gene named pentatricopeptide repeat-containing protein At2g15820, chloroplastic, with no coding region annotated. The record is from RefSeq and is a predicted model, not a curated record. Lineage: Eukaryota; Viridiplantae; Streptophyta; Magnoliopsida; Solanales; Solanaceae. The transcript has 3 exons.
CCACCCCCACCCCCAAUUCCCAACUGAUUCUAACAAGCUACAACUCUCCUCUUCAUGUCCAUUUCUCAGUUAUGUAAUAAUACUUGUUCCCUUAUCCAAUCCUUCCUCCAUGCCCAUCACCUUCCCCUCUCUCUCCUCCCCCUUCUUCCACCACCACCACCACUUACCCUCAUCACCCUUUUUCCUUCUCCAUAAACCCCUUUCAUACAGUCCCUUUUCUUUAUCUUCCACUUCACCCCUUCAACUUCUGCACAAGUCCCAAGAAACCCAAGUUGACAAAGACAAAUGGGUAGCUCAAAGUUUCAAUCUUGAUGACACUCUUGAUCCCCAAGUGGACAGCAACAAAUGUGACCCCAUUUCUUCAACUGGGGUUGCUGAAAGUUUGAAUCUUGAUGACUCUUUUGAUUACCAAGAACCCCAAGUUGAUAUCAACAAGUGUGACCCCGUUUGUGGUACUAAGGUAGCUCAAAGUUUCAAUCUUGGUGACUCUCUUGAUUCCAAAGAACCCCAAGUUGAUGUCAAAAAAUGUGACCCCCUCUGUGGUACUAAGGUGGCUGAAAGUUUGAAUCUUGAUGACACUCUUGAUUCCAAAGAAACCCAAGUUGAUAUCAACAAAUGUGACCCCAUUUGUGGUACUAAGGUAGCUCAAAGUUUGAAUCUUGAUGACUCUUUUGAUUCAAAAGAACCCCAAGUUGAUGUCAACAAAUAUGACCCCCUUUGUGGUAAUGGGGUUGCUGAAAAUUUCAAUCCUGAUGACUCUUUUGAUUCCAAAGAAUCCCGAGUUGAUAUCAACAAAUGUGACCCCCUUUCUGCUUCCGGGGUGGCAGAAAGUUUCAAUUUUGAUGACUCUUUUGAUUCUGUGGAGUUGAAGAAGUUUGAAACUCUGGCUGUCGAAGUGAGUGAACUAGAGGACAUUCCUGACCAAUGGCGUAGAGCAAGACUAGCUUGGCUUUGUAAAGAGCUUCCUGCACACAAGACACCUACUAUGGUUAGGAUUCUUAAUGCACAGAGGAAGUGGUUUAGGCAAGAAGAUGGGACUUAUAUUGCUGUUCACUGUAUGCGUAUUCGCGAAAAUGAAGCUGCUUUUAGGGUUUACAAAUGGAUGAUGCAGCAACAUUGGUUUCGGUUUGAUUUCGCUCUAGCUACUAAGCUAGCAGAUUACUUGGGUAAGGAACGAAAGCACUUGAAGUGCCGGGAGAUUUUUGAUGACAUAAUUAAUCAGGGGCGAGUACCUUCUGAAUCUACAUUCCAUAUUCUCAUUAUCGCCUAUCUUAGUUCCCCUGAACCAUCAGUGCUAGAUGAAGCCUGUAGUAUCUACAAUCGCAUGGUGCACCUGGGUGGUUAUAAGCCUCGUCUUAACUUACACAAUUCUCUGUUUAAAGCUCUCUUGGGGAAGACACCGGGCUCUAGUAAACACUUUCUGAAACAGGCUGAAUUUAUAUAUCAGAACUUGACUUCCUCCGGAUUAGAAAUACACAAAGAUAUUUUCGGUGGUCUUCUAUGGCUUCACAGUUAUCAAGAUAUGGUGGAUAUGGAAAGAAUCGCUGCACUAAGAGCAGAGAUGCGGUCAAGAGGAUUUAAAGCGAGCAAAGAGGUACUUGUGUCAGUCUUAAGAGCUUGCUCAAAGGAUGGGAAUGUGGAGGAAGCCGAAAGAACUUGGUCAAAACUACUCUCCAUCGAUGGCGGUCCUCCUUCUCAAGCUUUUGUCUAUCUCAUGGAAGUCUAUGCAAAGGUUGGAGAACCUACAAAAUCUUUGGAGGUAUUUAGGAGGAUGCAGGAACAAUUAGGUUCCACCUCCGUUGCGGCAUACCAUAAAAUAAUAAAGGUGUUGUCUAAAUCUCAAAAACUAGACCUUGCAGAUUCUAUUAUGUCCGAAUUCAUAAACAGUGGUUCCAAACAGCUGAUCCCAUCAUUCAUCGAUUUGAUGGGAAUGUACUCUGUUGCAGGUUUACGUGAGAAACUGGAAUCUACCUUUCUCCGGUACUGUGAAGUCUGCCAUCCGAAUCUGACAGUUUUUAACAUUUAUUUGGAUUCGUUGGUGGAUACUGGCAAUCUGAACCUUGCUGAAGAAAUAUUUAACGAAAUGCGUGGUAAUGUGGCAAUUGGUGUUGAUUCUCGUUCUUGUAACAGUAUUUUGAGAGGUUAUCUGACCUCUGGAGAGUAUGUGAAGGCUGAAAAGAUAUACAAUUGGAUGCGCCAAAAGAAAUAUGACGUUGAGAUUGAAUCUUCGUUGAUGGAAAGGCUUGACUAUGUUCUAAGCUUGCGGGAGAAAGUAGUUGAAGAACCUAUGAGGCUGAAGCUCACACCAGAACAACGAGAGGUUUUGACGGGGUUGCUUCUUGGGGGUUUGCAAAUUAAAUCAGAUGGAAAGAGGAGAUUGCAUGCAAUCCAUUAUGAGUUUAACGAAGAGUCGAGGAUCCAUUCCAUUUUUAAGAGACACAUAUAUGAUGAAUUUCACGAGUGGUUAGGCUCUUAUGAUGUGAUGGUGGAUAGCAGUGGUGAAAUUCCUAGUUCUUUUACUACCAUUUCACAUUCUCAUUUUACUUUCUACGCUGAUCAGUUCUGGUCCAAUGGACGUCCUUGCAUACCAAAAAUUAUACAUAGAUGGUUGUCACCUCGCGUUCUUGCUUAUUGGUAUAUGUACGGUGGUUACCGAACAUCAUCUGGUGAUAUUCUAUUGAGAGUAAAGGGAAGUUCCGAGGGUGUUUUGAGUAUUCUUAAAGCACUGAAAGUCAAAUCAUUAGACUGUCGAGUAAAAAAGAGGGGGAGGGUCUUUUGGAUAGGUUUUCUGGGGGACAAUGCUACAUUAUUCUGGAAGGUGGUAGAGCCCUUUAUUCUUGAUGAAUUAAAGGAACUCCUAAAAGCAGGUGGCAACUCAGAUGGAUCCAUAGGAACCCAAUGUAUCAAUUUUGACGGUGGGUCGGAAUCUGACGAGAAGAAUUCAGGUUAUAGUGAUGCUGACAUGUCGUAGAGCCUUGUCUUAUUGAAACAUUGGUCUCUAUGCCUUCUAUUGCAAGAUCAAAAAAAAAAAAAAUCGCUGCUGCAAAAGUUUGCGGCUGAUGAGGUGCUUGAGUGCCUUCUUCUCAUAGAUAUGAGUGUCUGGGUGGAGAAUUGAUGAAGUCGGUCAAAUGGCUGCGAAAUUGUCGCUGUGCAAGAAGGAUAAGCAAUCAAAUAGCAAGACGGUACGUACCUGCCUCCUAUGUUGCUCCGACUCUUCAAAAAUGUCAUGGGGUGUGUCAGAUCCUUCAAAAUCAGUGCAUUUUUUGGAGGAUACGACACGGGUGCGGCAACUUAGUCUGCCUGCAUAUGGUGGUGUUUUUGGAACGAAAGAAAUAUAAGAAGCUUUGAUUUUCGAGGGAAAAGAGGGCUCUAUUUUUUGAAAGUUACAUGUCAGGGAGUGCUUGAUUCUAGUUAAUAGUGGGCGCAUAUAUUAUCUUGAGAAGAAGGUUCUUACUCUGGCAAGGGGAAAGAGAUUGUAAAACGUUUAACUUAGUCAAACGGAACUGUGUCACCGCGGAGUUUUGGGUAUCAAGAAUCAAGAAUAUAAAAAUGCAAAAUAGGAGUCUCUUGAUGAAAUAGUUGUCGAGAUUUAGUGUUGAAGACUAUGCUUUAUGUAGAAAGGUUGUCGAAAUGAAGUAUGGUCAAAUGAAUGAAUGGAUUUCCGGCAUGACAAUUAGCUCGGACAUUCACCGCUACGAUCUUUGCACAAGAUACCAAACUUUACUUCAGCGCGACACAGGGAGGUAACGGUUGGAACAUCCUUUUCAGAAGAAAGCCGAAUGACUGGGUUGUUAGAAGAACUGCCUGAUUGUUCCAACCUUAGCGGGAGCUUUAGUGCACCGGGCUGCCCUUGUUUUUAUCGUCGGUUUCUGGUUUGAACACAACAGUAAUGAUCAGUUAAUUCGACGAGGGCAGGACAGUGUUUCAUUCAGUCAGCUCAUGUUACAAGAUAAUACUUACAGGUACGCAUCAGCUUAGUUUUGGCCCAUGAAAGAAGAUAUGGAAACGUAAGGCACCAACAGAACUCGUGUGUUUUUGUCUGGUUGGUCAUGGAAGAUGCAUGUUUGACUCGAGACAAUCUACGACGAAGAGGGAUACAACUACGCGAUAGAUGCAACAUGUGCUGAAUAGAGGCGGAAUUGGUUUGCCGUGUUUUCCUACAUUGCUCUAUAUCUACACAGAUUUGGCAGAUGUUCCUUAAUUUGUAGAGUUGAAGUGGUUCAUGCUCGAUUGGAAAAGGGUCUUUCGGAAACAACUGGUGACUGUUCAGCCGAGGUUCUUUCAGAAACGGUCUCUCGACCUUCUCAAAAGGUAAGGGGUAAGGUUUGCGUACAUUCUACCUUACCAAGACCUCACUUGUGGGAUUACACUGGGUUUGUUGUUGUUGUUGUUGCUCGAUCGGAGAAGGGCUAUCCAAGAAACUUGAAGACUAGAGAUACUUUGGAAAGAGAGAAAUGCAAGAUGAUUAGAACGGCAAGACAACUUUGUUUUGAUUGUUUUGUCUGGGUGCAUUUUGUUGUUACUUUCGAGUAACCGGCAAAGUUGCUACCAUGUGACCAGGAGGUCACGGGUUCAAGCGUUAGAAACAGUCUCUGACAGAAAUACAAGGUAAGGCUGUGUACAAUUCACCCUUGUGGUGGGGUCCUUUCCCAGACCUGUGCAUAGCGGAAGCUUUAGUGCACCAGACUGCUCUUUUUUCAUACUUGAACUAGAAGUUGUGCGAGCUUCCUAGAUAAAUUAUCAACUAUCAAUUGUUCAUUUUUCUUACCUAAAAUUUGGAAACACGCACACCUUAUAGUUCAGAUAUGAAACUCAAAAACCGAGAUACUUAGAUGUAUUUUUGACAGUGCACUCCGAGUUAAUUGUGAUUGGAAUUGGUUAGUGUUGUAUGCUUUAUUUUAAGCAGAGGUUUAUCGGAAACAACCUCUUUAUCUUUACGAGUUAGGGAUAAAAUCUGCCUAUACUCUACCUUCAUCAGACCCACUUAUGGGACUACGCUCCAUUGGUUGUUGUUGUAUUUGGAUGUAAUGACAUUAGUUUCAUAGUCAGGGGUGGAGUUACCCUUUGGCGAAGGGGUUCAUCCUUCGGCGGGGUUAAAAUUAUUUUUUAUGUGUA